AAGGUAGCAUAAUCAUUUGUUCUUUAAUUAAGAACUAGAAUGAAGAGUUGUCAAUGUUUAAGCUUUUCCCCCUUUUUAAUAGAAAUUAAUAUUUAUGUCAAAAAGCAUAACUUUUUAGAAAGACGAGAAGACCCUGUGAAACUUUACUGGAGUAAUUAAUAUUUUAUAUAGAAUUUUUAUUUUAAUUUCUAGUUAAGCUGGGGCGGCAUCUAUACCUCUAAAGAAAAUUUAACAUGAUUUAUGAAUUUUUAGAUCUUGAAUUUCAAAAGAUAGAACAAGUUACUUUAGGGAUAACAGCAUAAUUUUUUCAUAUAGACCCUAUAGAAGGAAAAGAAUUAUGACCUCGAUGUUGAAUUGAGGGGCCUAAUUUAAGCAAAAAUAAAUUUAGGGAGUCUGUUCGACUUUUAAAACCUC
RNAcentral lists this ribosomal RNA (414 nucleotides) under Chelator insignis. Its description in RNAcentral is "partial large subunit ribosomal RNA". It matches the Rfam family "Archaeal large subunit ribosomal RNA", at positions 2030 to 2666 of the family's 2987-position model. Lineage: Eukaryota; Metazoa; Arthropoda; Malacostraca; Isopoda; Desmosomatidae. The record is from RNAcentral.